Molecule: RNA transcript, 2420 nt
Organism: Mercurialis annua (annual mercury)
Lineage: Eukaryota; Viridiplantae; Streptophyta; Magnoliopsida; Malpighiales; Euphorbiaceae
Exons: 5
Source: RefSeq, a predicted model, not a curated record
UUGUUGAAUUAAUUAACUUGUCUAAUUAUUAUUAUUUUUUUUGAGAAAAACUUGCCUAAUUAUUAAGUGUUUUAUUUAAUUUUGUUGAUUCGUGUUCUAGACAUAUGAAUUUUACUCGGGAUCUAAACAAAAAAUUCAGCAGCUAUUGUUUUAGUGUUUUGAGUUUUAUCCGUAUAAGAAGCUACUCAACCCAGAGAGUAGUAGGUCAUCCAACAACCAAGAAUUUCAGCUCCAAUGAUUUCGUUCAAAGAGAUUUUAGCCGUCAUUGCCGUCCCCUUAGACCUCAAAUUUAUGAUGGUAGCUCUUUAAUUCUUCAGUCAAGCUGUUUACAGCCUUGGUUCAAAAAAUGGCAAGAACAACGGAAGAAUAAACUGACAGCCAGCACUUUUGCUGGGGCUAUUGGUUUUUGGCGUGGUCGAAGAGUCAAGCUUUGGUUAGAGAAACUCGGUGCAGUAGAAUCGUUCUCGGACAACAUAGCUACCUGUUGGAGCAACAUGAAAGAAAAGGAAGCACUUGAAAAAUAUGAGCUUCUUACAGGACAUUCUGUUUCUUUUCCUGAAUUUCAGGUUUAUGGUUUGAAGAAUUCGGAUGAUGACUGGCUAGCAGCUUCACCAGAUGGGGUAAUUGACUCCCGAGGAGUGCUUGAAAUUAAAUGUCCGUACUUUAAAGGAGAUAAGAGAAGAUUUUCGCCGUGUAAGCGGAUUCCUCUAUAUUACAUUCCGCAGGCUCAGGGUUUAAUGGAAAUACUCAACUUGGAUUGGAUGGAUUUCUAUGUUUGGACUCCUGCGGGGAGCAGUCUUUUUAGGAUCAAUCGAGAUGUAGAAUACUGGAACAUUCUGAAAUUGGCGCUGUCUGAUUUCUGGUGGAAGAAUGUUCAACCAGCAAGGGAGAUAUACAGCAAAGCUGUGAUUAAAGAUCCCCAAAGAGAAUUAAAAUUAUUUAAGCCAUCUCGUAGGCAUGAAUUGUAUGGCGAUAUAGUUUAUAAGAGCAAACACAUUGUUGAUAGUUCCAAGCUAUUGUGGCGUGAAAAGCAUUGGCAAUUGUACAACUGAUGUCGCUCGAUACAGGAUUUAGGUAAAUGAAAUUCGCGUUUUAAGUGUAGAAGUGGCUUUGAUUAAGUAAAUUUGGAGAUUGUGUGCUACUGCCAUUAAAUUUGAGUCAGCAGACAAAUAUCUCACACUUGGAGCCUAUCGAGUAUCCCUCUAUUCCUUGCUAGAGAAAUGAUGGAUUUGAAAAACAAAAAAAAUUCCUGCAGUAGGGAUAGUACAUUAUGAACUUGUUAAGAGUUACUAUCACAUUUUCCUGUUUGGUGUAGGCAUAGGCCCUUUCCCAUAUCACAUUACGUGUUCUAACGUUGUUUCGGUAGGAGAACUUUAUCAUUAGCUUCCAUUAUCCGUUCUGGGAGUUGAUCGGUUAUGACCAACUUGGAGUAAAGAGAUGCAGAAGCCACUUCUGUCAUUCCUUUGCAUGUUUUAUUUGGCUGUUGUCUUUGAGUGCGUUGCUCCAUAGAGUUUGCGUAGGUUGGACAGUGCCUCCAUCUUGCUCGAUGGAGGUUUAGAUCUUGUGAUUAGAGUGAUAGCUACGGUUGGAGAAUGAGACUUGAUAAUUUUGCAGGAGUUAGAGAUCUCUAUAGCUGCCAAAAUGAGGGAUCUCUGGAAGGAUAUAGCUGGAAAUUAUCAGAUCCUAUUGAUGAUCAAGCUCUUGCUGGUUGGGAGUUUAUUAAGGAUAACUUUGCUGUGAAUGAUAAUGCUGAUGACCUGAUUAAGUGGAAAGCUCACAGGAGUGGUGAUUUCUCCAUAAGCAGCCUGUGGAAGAAUUUGCAAACUGUCAGAACAAUAGUUCCCUGAUACUCCGUGGUCUGGUUGUCAGGAGUUCAACUUGCUGAGGCCAAAGUUGGACUUAACAAACCAGAAUUGGUUCCUAAGGAUUUUACUAAUGUAAUAGAUGUAGCUGGGCUCCUUUCUGAUGGCCAGGGCAAUGAGACUGGAACAAAAUGCUGCUCAAGCUCUGUUGGAGGUGUAAAAGGGUCCGCAAUAUGAGAUUGAGAGGCAAAUGAAGGUGGUCAAUCUUCCAACUCUGAUCAAUUAAUGAAUCAUGAAGAAGGUGCUGAAAAUAAGUUACAGAUCAACAGAUCACAGCGAGCCAUGCAAUCAAGGAUCUAAUGGCAAGAGGCUCUAUCAGGAUGAUAUCUGCUCAUGCUAGUCAGCUGAUAUACACGAGAGCCGCCUAUACAUAGAAUGAAACUAAUAUCAGCAUUUUGUUACCAUUCAUAGGAUCUUUGCUACAGUAUGUCAACUGCAUUUUGUUUUUUUAUUUUAGAGCAAAUUAUUACGAGGUUUCUAAUUUAUGUUAUAAUUCACACUUUCGUCUCCCAUGUUUAAAAAUCAAACGAUAUGACACCUUACUUAUGUUUCUGUCAA